CCAGACUCCUACGGGAGGCAGCAGUGAGGAAUAUUGGUCAAUGGCCGAGAGGCUGAACCAGCCAAGUCGCGUGAGGGAUGACGGCCCUACGGGUUGUAAACCUCUUUUGUCGGGGAGCAAAGAGAGUCACGUGUGGCUCAUUGAGAGUACCCGAAGAAAAAGCAUCGGCUAACUCCGUGCCAGCAGCCGCGGUAAUACGGAGGAUGCGAGCGUUAUCCGGAUUUAUUGGGUUUAAAGGGUGCGUAGGCGGGAUGCCAAGUCAGCGGUAAAAAUGCGGUGCUCAACGCCGUCGAGCCGUUGAAACUGGCGUUCUUGAGUGGGCGAGAAGUAUGCGGAAUGCGUGGUGUAGCGGUGAAAUGCAUAGAUAUCACGCAGAACUCCGAUUGCGAAGGCAGCAUACCGGCGCCCUACUGACGCUGAGGCACGAAAGCGUGGGUAUCGAACAGGAUUAGAUACCCUUGUA
Molecule: ribosomal RNA, 463 nt
Filed under: uncultured bacterium
Lineage: Bacteria
Description: bacterial SSU rRNA
Rfam family: Bacterial small subunit ribosomal RNA
Source: RNAcentral